Molecule: long non-coding RNA, 3160 nt
Filed under: Ananas comosus (pineapple)
Lineage: Eukaryota; Viridiplantae; Streptophyta; Magnoliopsida; Poales; Bromeliaceae
Description: long non-coding RNA (ACOM_LNC009107)
Source: RNAcentral
AAAUUUGAACUUAAAAUAUGAGUCCAAACUCAAAAUCAUUUUUUAAGAAGUAGGUUUUAACUGCUGCUGAUUUUAGUUCUUUAAAAUUAGAAAAUUGAUUAUAGGAAUCAGAAUUAGAUUUUGAAAAACAGGUUACCAGAUGCUCUAUUUGAGGAAAAAAUCACUUUUUGCCCUAAAAUCACUUUCUAUGAUCUAGGCCGAACACCCUUUUACUAGUUAAAAAAGGUAUGAGUUUCAUUGUCAUGCUCCGAGGUCCUUUUAGAUAGCCAGUCUGAAAUCGGGCUAUUUUUAUAAAUCAAAGUUAGCGAAAAAACUGCCCUUUUUUUUUGAAACCUGGACCCCAAAGACGUGCAACAGACCCACCACAAAUACAGAAAAUUCCUGGAAUAAACGGACAGAGUCUCCCCUGUAUUUGCACGUAAUGGCACGUAGUACAAUUUAACAACCAAAUCCCCGCUCACACACACAACAACAGGAUGUACAAGGAUCAUCAUAUUACAUCAACCAGCUAGCCGUUCUCACUUACAUCCAUUCCACAUUCAUUCACUUUCAUCCUAAAAGUUGAAAUUGUCUCCCGCUUGAAGACUUCUUUUUAAAACUCUUAUCUUUGUGAAAAGCCUCGAGAAAACCAUUUAAAAACGUUUCCCACACGGAAAUCAUUAUUUUGAAAACACUACUAUGAGGGGUAAAGAACCACAUUCGAAAACUGAGUCCAAAGCUACAAGAGUUCAAAAGCCACGAAAAUUUCAAAACCAUGAGUAUCCAAAAUCUCGAGUAUCCAAAACACAUAAAUAUUUCAUCCAAAAACUUGCGAGUAUAAAGCAUCGACUGAACCACAUGUAUCAUCUACUAACAGGUGUAGGGGUGAAUUAUACUAUCACAUGUAUGUCUAAUGCUAUGUAUAAAGUAAUCAAGAACCUAUACCGUAAAUCGAGACCUUUAUGACCGCUCACUAGUUACGGCCUUACUCUACGUCCCGACCAAUGCCACCCGCAUCACUUGUGGAGAAAUGGGGGUGAGAAGCCAAUGAGGGUCUUCUAGUGGGUACCUAGGGGUGUAAAACGGGCCAGGCGGCACGUGGGCCGUUCGGCCCGGCACGGCCUCGGGCCGGGCUACAGCACGGCACGGGUAUUGUAGCAUCCGUGCCGGGCCGGCCCGGCCCGAGCCUCCGGGCCGUGCUGGGCCGCUCAUAUGUGGCCCGACGGCCCGGCACGGCACGGCCCGAAACGGGCCUGGGCCGUGCCGGGCCGAGGGGAGGCGGGCGGCCCGGCACGGCACGGCCCGUUUUGCGCCACCCAGCCGUGCCAGGGCACGGCCCUGGCCCCAUUAAGGCCCAAGCAAAUGCUGGCCCUAGGCCUAAGCUUCCUGGAGAGAAGCAGAGGAAGAGCCUCUCAUUGCCAUCUACCCAGGAGAGCGUCGCUGCGCAUAUGUCCACCUGGAGAGAGUGCCAAUGCCCAUGCACCGUCGUUCCCAGCAGCUCUCCCACAGGCCCGCGGCCGAACGCCCGAAGCCCCCGCGGCCGCCCCCGCUUGUCGCCCGCCGCCUCCGGCGCCGGUCCCAAACCAAUGCCCCACCCGUACUGGCCGUCCCCCCGCGCCUCCCCAGCCAGUCCUCACUGCCCCUCCGCUCUUCCGACCCCUCCUCUGCUGACGCCUCCUCCGAGAUCGCUCGCACAGAAGCCGUUGGGGCUCCCCUCCCGAAACCCCCACGCCUCGAAAGCCUCUCGCGCCUCCGAUUUAAUUUUUUUUGAAAAGAAUAAUAACAGUUUUUUUGAAAAAAUAAAAUAAUAAGGAUAUUUACUAAUUAUAGAGAUAUUUUUAUACAAUUUUUAAAUAUAUUUUAAUGCAAGGAUGUUAAACCUGAUGAUUUAACAAAAAUAUAAAAAACGAUAACUAGUUAAUAGUGCCGGCCGAAGCACUGCGGGCACGGCCUGCCCGGCACCGCCCUGUGCCUUCCGCCGAGGAAGGGCCGUUCGGCUCAGAGGCUAGGCACUUGGGCCCGGCAUGGCACGGCCCGAGAAUUGAAAGCGUCGCCGGGCCGUUUGCCGGCUCACGUGUAGAAGCGGUGUGCGUGCGUUUCCUCUAGGAAGAAUAUUGGUCCGUUCCUGCCCGUAGCGCCACAACUCACCUUCAUAUCGGGUACCAUAAGUCGACGAAGGCAAACGUACUCACUGGUAACCAUGUAUAGGUAAAGAAAGGUCUACAGUAGCAAUGUAAGUUGUAAAGAGAGAAGAACUGUAAGUAAGCAUGCAACAACCGUUACUGUAACUAUAUGCGUCCACUGGACGAAAAUUCCAAAUGUACCCAAUCUAUACCGCCGUGUCGGUCUAAGGACCUUAGGCAAGCCACAACCGCUUUGUCUGGCAUAUAAUCCUAGCAAUGGGCUCACGGGUUGGCAACCAAUCAUUUUUUCGGAAAAGAACACCAUCCUGUGGGAGAUCAGACUGCUGGUGUUCGUGAAAUACUGUUGAGCCGUGGCGAUCGAUGCGAAUGGCCGGCAAUCACCGUCCCUCGGGGCACACCGACCAACAGGUCAUCGAAGCUAUACGGGAACACAAGUACCGACCACUCAGGUCAACUAGGAUGGACAAGCUCAAUAUCCUCUCAAGUAUGUAGGUACCGACCACUCAGGUCAACAAGAAAGUACGAGGUCAGCAUCGACAAGAGUAUAGGGAAACUGACCACUCUGGUCAUCUAGGGUGUAUCCGCAAGAACCGGCCUCUCGGGUCAACAACGACACGUCCAAGAGAACCGACUACUUAGGUUAACAAUGGUAUAAGCACAAGAAUCGAUCACUCCGUCAACAAUGACGCGUCUAUGGGAAUCGAUCACUCUGGUCAUCAAUGGGGUAUGCACAAGAAACGACCACUCAGGUCAUCAAUGAUGCGUCUACGAGAACCGACUACUCAGGUCAAUAAUGAUGUAUACGAUCAUGUAUAGGCAACCUCUAAUGCUCUACUUCUAUGUCAUGGCAAACAAGAGAGGAGUAUGCUAAGUAGAGCUAGAGUCGAAGCCAUGUGGUGUAAGGCUCAAGUAUAAGAUAUAUGCAAUAAGUAAGAGGAAAGAGUGGAGGGAAUAUCACUGAGUGUGCACCAUUGAACCGACUUCGGAUCGAAGUACCCACCUGUGUCACAGCUGCACCUAACUCCCGCGGUGUGCAG